UACGUAGGGGGCUAGCGUUGUCCGGAAUCAUUGGGCGUAAAGAGCGCGUAGGCGGCCAGAUAAGUCCGGUGUGAAAGUCACAGGCUCAACCUGUGAAUGCCGCUGGAAACUGUCUGGCUAGAGUCCGGGAGGGGCGAGUGGAAUUCCCGGUGUAGCGGUGAAAUGCGCAGAUAUCGGGAGGAACACCAAUGGCGAAGGCAGCUCGCUGGGACGUGACUGACGCUGAGACGCGAAAGCGUGGGGAGCAAACAGG
This 253-nucleotide ribosomal RNA is filed under the name uncultured bacterium. Its description in RNAcentral is "partial 16S ribosomal RNA". It matches the Rfam family "Bacterial small subunit ribosomal RNA", at positions 524 to 776 of the family's 1533-position model. The record is from RNAcentral.